UUAAUCCACGAAAGCUUAUGCCCAAAUAAAUCUGUUAGUCUGUAAGGUGCCACAAGUACUUCUGUUCUUUUUGCGGAUACAGACUAACACAGCUGCUACUCUGAAACCUGCCAAAAGUAUGCCGCAAUAAUCCCAUAGGUUGACAUUCUUUGUCCUCUGGACAGUCAAGUUUUCCCACAAAGGGCCAGAGUGGCCACAUUUUGGGAGGGUGCUACGAAGGCUGGAAUAUGGGCAGCUGGACUCCAGCCCGCACAGGUUAGGACCCAGGGCUCAACAAUUCCUAGCCUGGGGUUAUAAAUCAGUACAGACCCUCAAGCCCUAGGUUAACAAACCAAGGUCUGACACCUCAAGUUCUACCAACCCUGGGCUUACACUGCAGUGCAGACAGACUCCUGGAGAGGGGAGACAAGUCACAGGCUAAACUGGCAGGUCAAACAGUAGCGAAACAGAAGAUAAAUCUUAUCUUUCAAGCAUUCUAACAGGCACCAACCGAAACACAGGACAGAGUUUCCUCAAUUACUUAAAAACAACCAAAUUCUCUUUAUAGUCAGCUCUUGGCAUUUUCUUCCUAAAAUUGUGCAUCCACCAUCACAAUCUCCUGCCUAUACUAACUCUUUCCCAGACUUCUAAUUCAGUGCUUUAUCUGUAAUCUAUUUCGGGUUUCUGCUGCUGCCCAUCACUAUAGUAUUAAUGUGUUCUAGAUAAGAUAUCCAUAGUGGAAUCCCUCGUGGUUCUGACUUGCCUCUCUUGUUGGGAUAAAAAGCCUGUGGGGGAUAUUUUCAUUUGUUGGCCGAUUUUUCUCAGGGAUAUUUUUACUUGGCGGGGGUGGGGUGGAGAGUGUGUGGGGAAGGGGCCAUAUUUUAGUUAGUUGCGGGUGUUCUGUCUUUCUAGCUGUGGUGGAAAGACUUUUUCAAAGAAGCCUCAGAUUAAAUAAUUAGCUGUAACUGAGCAAGCUACAAUUCAGUAGCUGCUAGUCAGGUUGUACUUGGUAAAUCAUUCCCUCUCUAGGCCCAGCCACUGUUUCUCCACUUCCGGUAACAGGGAGAAAAAAUUCAAAAAGAUUUCCUUUUGUCAGGAGACAGUCUUUGCUCCAAGUUGUAUUUAAGCUGACCCUUAAGCAAGGAAAGGAAAAGUUUCCAUUCAGCUUCUGGUGAGAAGCAAUGUAAUUCCUAAUUCAUUUCAGGCACAAGUAGUGCUGGUUGCAAAAUAAGACUUUCUGCAGAUUUCUUCCCCCAACCAGCUCUACUCAUGAGUAAGAAAGAGAAGUUGUCUGAACUGGUUCUUUGCUUUUUCAAAUGUUGCCCACUGGAACUACCAUAAAUAACUGGAAAUAUUGCAUUGCUACAAGUGGUAUGCAUACAUUUCACUAUACUGUGCAUUUUUUGAAAUAUUUCAAUCAAACUGAAGGUUCCUGAAUAACUAUGCAAUUGGUUAAAAUCAUCAUAUCAUAAUUCACCACAGCUCUGCUGCAUAAAGAGGUUUGGGGGGAGGGGGAAGGGGAGAGGGAAAAGCUUGC
This is a non-coding RNA of Chelonoidis abingdonii (Abingdon island giant tortoise), 1516 nucleotides long. The record is from RefSeq and is a predicted model, not a curated record. Lineage: Eukaryota; Metazoa; Chordata; Testudines; Testudinidae.